CAGCGCUAUCCUGGGGGGGGGGUGUAAAAAACUGACCGUGCGGCGCCGGUUGGUGGAACCUGGGCGCUGGGGAAGGGAGCGGGGACCCGGCAGCCCCGGGCGCUCCGCAAGUGGUGAGCAAUUUGGCCUGCUGAUAGGAUGUUACCUCUUUUUUCCUGCUGCCACCUUGGAUGACUUGUCCAGAGUCUUUACAAAUUACUAUUGGCAAUGUUGAAAUGUGAGUAGCGAUACUGGGAGGACCCAACCUACCCCUUGCGCCAUUGGCUCAUGAAGGCAUCCACCUCAACAGCACCCAGGAAAGAUUCAGCUACCAGCUCAGCAUGUGCAGAAUGACAGUUGGGUGCAUAGGCGGCAGAAAAUAAAUCAUUCUCAUCCUCAAAGUACUAAGAGUCACAGAAAGAUUGCUCGGCAUCAGGCUUCUUCAUCAGUGUUCUCGUGGCAACAAGAAAAGACACACAGCUGUCCUUCAUCCAGCAGUCAAGAAACCCUUUAAAGAGAGGUUUUUACUUCAUCCCAUUUUCCAUGGGGAUAGGAGGCAAUUCCUAGUCACAGUGGCUUAAGAUCAAAGAAGACAGAUUUCAACAACAAGUUCCCUGAAAAUGGUGGUAAUUCUUCCGUCAUCGAGCAGUUAAAAACACAGAACCAAGAGUGCUAGUACUGGGUCCCUCGCUUCCUGGGCCUCAUCAGCAACAUCCUCUUUCAAAAUCUGGCAUGUCGGACAAGAAGCUUUCUGUGAAAAAGGUACAGGGCACGGAAGAGUCCAGAGAUGAUUCCAGACUAAGAUCUCCUCAAAGAGAAGGAUGGAGAACUCCAAGCUUUUUUGCAGACCCAGCUUAUGCUUAUCUUAUGUCCGGACAAAGUGUCUUUUGGACA
Molecule: long non-coding RNA, 873 nt
Organism: Mauremys reevesii (Reeves's turtle)
Lineage: Eukaryota; Metazoa; Chordata; Testudines; Geoemydidae
Exons: 5
Source: RefSeq, a predicted model, not a curated record